UUAUCCUUUGGUGUUGACUCAAUAGUAUUUUCCAAAUGACUAUAUUGCCCUCCUCAUUAAAAAAAUAAUUUUGUUUAUCCACUCGCCUUUAGGACUCGUGGUGUAUAGGCUUCUACCUUUCCUCCUUUUGUGUUCGUAUUUCUUGGUGUCCGUUGAGCGCCUGUCCCUUUCCCCUUUUUGUGUUCGUCUAGGGUUUCUCAAAUUUACCAAUUUUCGACACCCAUUGUGUGAUUUGCGCUCGGUGUCCUUGUUUAUCUGUUCAGAUGUGGUGGGUCGUCUAUUUUUUCAUUUUCAUUGUGCAAUCUGUGGAAGAAAGAGAUCGUGGUCUGCAAUCGCAUUGUGUGAAUAGUUGUGAUGGAGAAUUCUUCGUCUUCGCAGUCGAGCAAGGUGACAGUGUUAAUGAAUAUCAAUGACAUCUUGUGUCGUUGUGGUGCACCUUGUCGUAUUCACACUUCAUGAAAUACACAAAAGCCUAGAAGGAAGUUUGUUAGUUGCAGCAAAUAUGAUGGACACACUAAGUAUUGUUGCUUUUUUUCCUGGUGUGAAUUGGUAGAUGAAGUGGAGUAGAAGGAAGAAUUGAAUGCUUUAGUUGCAGCCCAGUUGGCAGACAUUAAGGAAUUGCAGGAUAAAGUUGAGAAAAUGAAGGAUGAUUUGAAUGAAGCUAGUAGGAAGGUUGAAUUGGGGAAUGAAAUGUUAGUGGUUGUGAGGAACAAGAGUGACGAAAAUGGUGUUGAAUGUAGGAAAAUUAGGUUUUUUGUAUGCAUAAUGUUGCUUUUGUUGGUUGCAAGAUUGAUGUAUAGUUCCUGAGGACAUGUUAUGGUGUAUUUUGGUUCUGGUCAUGUAGUUGGUACUUAUGUUUUGUAUCAUUGUCUGCUAGGGUUUUUGUCCAUGGCUUUGUUUACUUUAUUUAAGGACAAAGUUUUAGGAGAUUAUGAUUUUUGUUAUUUAAUUAUUGGGUUUAGUAUGUAUAACUGUUGGUAUUGUGAUGUAAAAGACCUUGUUUUGUUCAAUUGUGAUUAAAAUGUUGUUGUGUAGUA
Glycine soja is the source of this 1037-nucleotide long non-coding RNA. RefSeq lists it as uncharacterized. NCBI's taxonomy places the organism in Eukaryota, Viridiplantae, Streptophyta, Magnoliopsida, Fabales, Fabaceae. The record is from RefSeq and is a predicted model, not a curated record. The transcript has 2 exons.